Molecule: long non-coding RNA, 574 nt
Filed under: Cottoperca gobio
Lineage: Eukaryota; Metazoa; Chordata; Actinopteri; Perciformes; Bovichtidae
Description: lncRNA (ENSCGOG00000005913.1)
Source: RNAcentral
CGAGUCCAUAAUGCAGUAAAAAUGAACAUAAUCCUGCAGCUGACGAGUUGAUGUGAUGAUACUCAUAGUUUUAUUAUUCACUUGCAACCCUACAAACUUUACAUCAACUUUUCUUUACCAGAAGGUUUUAGUUCAUGUCUGUGGAAGAGCAUCUUGCAGACACUUAAAACCUGCAACAGAAGUUGACAACAUCAUGGCUACUUCAUUCACGAUUCAUUACCCUGAAAACCCGACGAUGGCGGCGCCCAUGGCGGCGCCCAUGGCGAUGACCCCUUUCAUGCUGACCGAUGCGGUGAACCGUUUCGUUCCGACCCAUGCGGUGACCGAGGCGAUGACCCAUUUCGUUCCGACCCAUGCGGUGACCGAGGCGAUGACCCGUUUCGUUCCGACCCAUGCGGUGACCGAUGCGGUGAACCGUUUCGUUCCGACCCAUGCGGUGACCGAGGCGAUGAACCGUUUCGUUCCGACCCAUGCGGUGACCAAGGCGAUGGUGAGCGAUGACGUGGUGACCAAGGUGAUGACCGAGGUGGUGAAUGAGGUGGUGACGAAGGGUACGUACAUGUACAAUAUGUGA